GUAACCAUUGCUGCCACAAGCACAAAUAAUCAAUACACAUUUCAUUUUUCCUUUCCUCUUAUGAUCUCAAGGUUAAAAACACUUACCCAUCAUUUGUCUUGCUUUAAACUACCAUACUUCUAAGUUUAACCCACAUGCAUACACCCAGUUCUUUGAAUCCUUGUAGAUCCUUGCUACCACAAGCAUAACCUCACAUCACAACUGGUUCACAAG
This 213-nucleotide long non-coding RNA is filed under the name Theobroma cacao (cacao). Its description in RNAcentral is "long non-coding RNA (TCAC_LNC001771)". Lineage: Eukaryota; Viridiplantae; Streptophyta; Magnoliopsida; Malvales; Malvaceae. The record is from RNAcentral.